CGUACUGCGCCGGGGAUGAGCGGAUAUCAUUGAUGUUGAUAAGGACGAGUUUCCUAAGAAAACUCCAGUACCA
RNAcentral lists this transfer RNA (73 nucleotides) under Dendropoma gregarium. RNAcentral describes it as "tRNA-Ile". The record is from RNAcentral. Lineage: Eukaryota; Metazoa; Mollusca; Gastropoda; Littorinimorpha; Vermetidae.